GCCGGUGUAGCUCAGAUGGUUAGAGCACGCGGCUCAUAUCCGCGGCGUCCGGGGUUCAAUUCCCUGCACCGGCACCA
This 77-nucleotide transfer RNA is filed under the name Acidobacteriota bacterium. RNAcentral describes it as "Acidobacteria bacterium (wastewater metagenome) tRNA-Met". It matches the Rfam family "tRNA". From Rfam's summary of the family: Transfer RNA (tRNA) molecules are approximately 80 nucleotides in length. Lineage: Bacteria; Pseudomonadati; Acidobacteriota. The record is from RNAcentral.